ACGGUAUUGCUCAUUAGGUAGGUAUAUAUAAUGAAUAGAUAUCUUAGGUAUCUUAAAUCACACCCAAUAACACGAGCAAUAAAGACAAACACAUAUUAAGCACAAUAACUAUUAGGUAUACCCAGAUAUGUAGUGUUCGUAGAAUAAUUUAGAGAGUAAUCGCAAAAGACAAUACUUUAUUUAUAACAUUAUAAUCAUAAACGAAAAUAGAACGUUUAGUCAAAGCAAUCAAAUUGGAGUUGGAAAAAAAAAUAUAUGUGCCGGUAUGCAUUAAAAAAAUCCAAACCGACACGAAUAUAACGUACGUACCUUUUACAAGAAUCGGUUCGGAAUUUUCAAUCACUCUGAACAGUUAUUCUGAUUUCCGGGGAGAGCCGGUAUUGAUAUAUCCGUGAAAAUCGGAGAGACGAACGGAACGGUCCGACAGGCAAGCACAACGAGAAUCAACUGACGACGCCGGAACGGUUGCCGGCGUAUAUAUUAGCGGGAGAAUAUUCUAGAAUCUUCGAGUGUAGCGCGGAAACGGAAUAUUCGAGAAUCUUCUGGUAACCACCGCUUGUCCGACCGAAUUGCGUCGCGUCGAC
Cinara cedri is the source of this 584-nucleotide non-coding RNA. The record is from the annotation of a GenBank genome assembly. Lineage: Eukaryota; Metazoa; Arthropoda; Insecta; Hemiptera; Aphididae.